UCCGCCGUGGGGUAGCGGCAUCCCGCAGGCCUUUGGAGCCUUGAGACGCUGGUUCGAAUCCAGCCGGCGGAGCCA
Molecule: transfer RNA, 75 nt
Filed under: Streptomyces rimosus
Lineage: Bacteria; Bacillati; Actinomycetota; Actinomycetes; Kitasatosporales; Streptomycetaceae
Also listed under: 27 other names
Description: tRNA-Gln
Rfam family: tRNA
About the family: Transfer RNA (tRNA) molecules are approximately 80 nucleotides in length. Their secondary structure includes four short double-helical elements and three loops (D, anti-codon, and T loops).
Source: RNAcentral